Molecule: ribosomal RNA, 264 nt
Filed under: uncultured Oscillospiraceae bacterium
Lineage: Bacteria; Bacillati; Bacillota; Clostridia; Eubacteriales; Oscillospiraceae
Description: partial 16S ribosomal RNA
Rfam family: Bacterial small subunit ribosomal RNA
Source: RNAcentral
UCCAAUUGAAGCAGAGGACAGUGGCGGACGGGUGAGUAACGCGUGAGGAACCUGCCUUUCAGAGGGGGAUAACGGCUGGAAACGGUCGCUAAUACCGCAUGACGUGUUCGGAUGGCAUCAUCUGAACAUCAAAGAUUUAUCGCUGAAAGAUGGCCUCGCGUCUGAUUAGCUGGUUGGUGAGGUAACGGCCCACCAAGGCGACGAUCAGUAGCCGGACUGAGAGGUUGACCGGCCACAUUGGGACUGAGACACGGCCCAAACUCC